GCACUGUUGAGGAAUGCCAUAAUAGGACGAAACGGUCGUCCAGUGC
RNAcentral lists this non-coding RNA (46 nucleotides) under Schistosoma mansoni. Lineage: Eukaryota; Metazoa; Platyhelminthes; Trematoda; Strigeidida; Schistosomatidae. The record is from RNAcentral.